Molecule: long non-coding RNA, 227 nt
Organism: Felis catus (domestic cat)
Lineage: Eukaryota; Metazoa; Chordata; Mammalia; Carnivora; Felidae
Exons: 2
Source: RefSeq, a predicted model, not a curated record
UCAUGAUCUCAUGGUUCCUGGGAUUGAGGCCCCUGGCUCCACACUGACAGCAAGAGCCUCCUGUAGACCAGACUGCCACAAGACCUGGAAGACCAUUCCAGACUGGAGCAAGGCAGCUCUGGCAUCCAUUCCUCCUCUGUGCUCAGCCAUUAAUGUGAUUCAACUACUUUCUGCUCCUGCUGUUACCACUUCCACAGUUAUAAAUAAAUCAAUUCACUCCUACUCUC